This 403-nucleotide ribosomal RNA is filed under the name Monodelphis touan. Its description in RNAcentral is "partial 16S ribosomal RNA". It matches the Rfam family "Bacterial large subunit ribosomal RNA", at positions 1915 to 2493 of the family's 2925-position model. The record is from RNAcentral. Lineage: Eukaryota; Metazoa; Chordata; Mammalia; Didelphimorphia; Didelphidae.
AAUUAAUUUUUAACGGCCGCGGUAUCCUGACCGUGCAAAGGUAGCAUAAUCACUUGUCUCCUAAAUAGGGACUUGUAUGAAUGGCAAAACGAGGGUUUAACUGUCUCUCUUUCUCAAUCAAUGAAAUUGACCUACCCGUGCAGAGGCGGGUAUGACUAUAUAAGACGAGAAGACCCUGUGGAGCUUAAAAUUAUAUCUUAAAUUUAGCUUAUCUUAUACCCUAGGGACUAAUUUUACAAAACUCCUUAAGAUAAAUUUUUGGUUGGGGUGACCUCGGAGUACAAAUAACCCUCCGAAUGAUAUAACUAAGACCAACGCAUCAAAGUGCUAACCAAGCCAGUAAUUGACCCAAAACUUGAUCAACGGAACAAGUUACCCCAGGGAUAACAGCGCAAUCCUAUUU